AAUCUCUCCGUUCCUUCACAUGUCGGCCACUCUCUAAAUUUGCGAUCCACCGAAUGCCACGUCGCUUCGUUUUUGCUAAACACCAAAAGUGCCACGGCUCCCAUCUCAAAGAAACAAAACAAACUGUGCUGCGCUGCGAGUUCGCACUAAAAUGGACGGUUCUACUAAACCAUAAAAAAAAUUAUUUCCGUGGCAUUUUUUAAACAAGAUGCGCUGAUUUAAAGAAUAUCAAACAUCAGGUCUCACUCCAGUCGUCGACAACAUGCAGCUCACUACAAUUAUUUCUUCUCAUUUCACGGCCUGGGUUGGCAACUCGGACCCCAAACUUAUAAUGAUCAAUAUACUCGGGCCAGCGGGGGCAUUGGAAGCUCUCACCUUAGCACGGAUUGCAGAUGAGGUGCGGGGUUGGCUAUCCACCUAUACGAAACGCAGGACUCACGCGGGAGGACACACCCGAGGGCUAUAUCGUCGAAGAUAUAAGCUUCAUGCUUAAAUAUUGGCCGGUGCUCGCUCGCAAAAACACUCCCAUUUUGACUCAUUGACCAGAUGGGAUGCAAAGUUGUAGCUAUCAUACUGUUCCAGGAUCCGAAGGUACUCAACACAUUCGGGGGAUAAAAACCAUGCAACCACUCAAUCGUUAAAACUUCAGCUUGAUCUCAUCACUACCUCCAACGUUUAACUAUCCUCUAAGCCGUAGAUAUAUUGUGCGACCCGUUGCGCAACCAUUUCAACCUCAAAUUGUCUUCUGAUGAUGUUGGUCAACUCGUAUUUUGUUUCAUUUGUAAAUUUUGGCUCAUCAAAAAUGGUUCUUAGCUAAAGGACCAUAAACAUAGACGAACUUUUAAAGUAUCUGUAGUGCAGUCUGCCGGCCAACUAGAUGAAAUUUUCAUGGGAUUCCCUGCUCUAAACGUUGCCAGUGGUAUA
Non-coding RNA from Bemisia tabaci, 924 nucleotides. The record is from RefSeq and is a predicted model, not a curated record. Lineage: Eukaryota; Metazoa; Arthropoda; Insecta; Hemiptera; Aleyrodidae.